This 515-nucleotide ribosomal RNA is filed under the name uncultured Acaulospora. Its description in RNAcentral is "SSU rRNA". It matches the Rfam family "Eukaryotic small subunit ribosomal RNA", at positions 548 to 1065 of the family's 1831-position model. The record is from RNAcentral. Lineage: Eukaryota; Fungi; Glomeromycota; Glomeromycetes; Diversisporales; Acaulosporaceae.
UUGGAGGGCAAGUCUGGUGCCAGCAGCCGCGGUAAUUCCAGCUCCAAUAGCGUAUAUUAAAGUUGUUGCAGUUAAAAAGCUCGUAGUUGAAUUUCGGGAUUUGUCAGUUGGUCGGGCUUCACUGUCCGUAUUGACUUGAUGGAUUCUUACCUUCUGAAUAACCAGCAUGCUAUUAAUUUAGUGCGUUGGGGAAGCAGAUCUAUUACCUUGAAAAAAUUAGAGUGCUUAAAGCGAGCUAGUGCUUGAAUAGAUUAGCAUGGAAUAAUAAAAUAGGACGGCAUGGUUCUAUUUUGUUGGUUUCUAGGAUCACCGUAAUGAUUAAUAGGGAUAGUUGGGGGCAUUAGUAUUCAAUUGUCAGAGGUGAAAUUCUUGGAUUUAUUGAAGACUAACUUCUGCGAAAGCAUUUGCCAAGGAUGUUUUCAUUAAUCAAGAACGAAAGUUAGGGGAUCGAAGACGAUCAGAUACCGUCGUAGUCUUAACCAUAAACUAUGCCGACUAGGGAUCGGACGAUGUAA